Pelobates cultripes (western spadefoot toad) is the source of this 223-nucleotide non-coding RNA. NCBI's taxonomy places the organism in Eukaryota, Metazoa, Chordata, Amphibia, Anura, Pelobatidae. The record is from the annotation of a GenBank genome assembly.
AUUCUUAUCUAUGUCGUGUGACAAAUGCAUGGACCAGGCAGAUUGGGAUGCAGAAGCAGGACAUUGUGGGCCGUAGCUCCUACCUAUACCAUGUGACAAAUACAGGAAGCAGGCAAACAGUGGACACUUGCCAUAGUAGUGUACACCUCCUACCUUUUAAUAGGAUAAGCACAAUAUACUAGCAGACUGGGAAGAAGACUAGUAUUGGAUCAGUAUCAUAGCC